CGAACGGCAGCUUCAACUUCGGUUGAAGGCGAGUGGCGACCUGGUGAGUAACACGUAUGCAACUUACCCCUAACUGGGGCAUAGCUCCGAGAAAUCGGAAUUAAUUCCCCAUAAUAUCUAAAAAUGACAUCAUUUUAAGAUUAAAGCUUUGGCGGUUAGGGAUGGGCAUGCGGUCCAUUAGCUUGUUGGUGAAGGUAACGGCUCACCAAGGCAACGAUGGAUAGCUGGUCUGAGAGGAUGAUCAGCCACACUGGCACUGAGACACGGGCCAGACUCCUACGGGAGGCAGCAGUAGGGAAUAUUGGUCAAUGGGCGAAAGCCUGAACCAGCCAUGCCGCGUGAAGGAUUGACGGUUCUAUGAAUUGUAAACUUCUUUUGUUUGGGAAGAACAAGUCCUUUUCUAAGGAAACUGACGGUACCAAACGAAUAAGCACCGGCUAACUCCGUGCCAGCAGCCGCGGUAAUACGGAGGGUGCAAGCGUUAUCCGGAUUUACUGGGUUUAAAGGGUGCGUAGGUGGUUAAGUAAGUUAGUGGUGAAAUCCUACAGCUCAACUGUAGAACUGCCAUUAAAACUGCUUAACUUGAGUAUAGAUGAGGCGGGUGGAAUGCAACAUGUAGCGGUGAAAUGCUUAGAUAUGUUACAGAACACCAAUUGCGAAGGCAGCUCGCUAGACUAUCACUGACACUGAGGCACGAAAGC
Molecule: ribosomal RNA, 701 nt
Filed under: uncultured bacterium
Lineage: Bacteria
Description: bacterial SSU rRNA
Rfam family: Bacterial small subunit ribosomal RNA
Source: RNAcentral